GACGAACGCUGGCGGCGUGCUUAACACAUGCAAGUCGAACGAAGUGGCGAACGGGUGAGUAACGCGUAAUCAACCUGCCCUUCAGAGGGGGACAACAGUUGGAAAAGACUGCUAAUACCGCAUACUGAUGGCGGGGAUUGCGUCUGAUUAGAGAGUUGGAGGGGUAACGGCCCACCAGGGCGAUGAUCAGUAGCCGGUCUGAGAGAAUGAACGGCCACAUAUGGACAGAGAAACGGCCCAGACUCCUACGGAAGGCAGCAGUGGUGAAUCGUCCGCAAGUGACGAAAGUCUGACGGAGCAACGCCGCGUGAGUGAUGACGGCCUUCGGGUUGUAAAGCUCUGUUAAUCGGGACGCGGUACCGGAAUAGAAAGCCACGGCUAACUACGUGCCAGCAGCCGCGGUAAUAC
Molecule: ribosomal RNA, 408 nt
Filed under: uncultured bacterium
Lineage: Bacteria
Description: partial 16S ribosomal RNA
Rfam family: Bacterial small subunit ribosomal RNA
Source: RNAcentral